This 465-nucleotide ribosomal RNA is filed under the name uncultured Klebsiella sp. RNAcentral describes it as "bacterial SSU rRNA". It matches the Rfam family "Bacterial small subunit ribosomal RNA", at positions 338 to 795 of the family's 1533-position model. The record is from RNAcentral. Lineage: Bacteria; Pseudomonadati; Pseudomonadota; Gammaproteobacteria; Enterobacterales; Enterobacteriaceae.
CCUACGGGUGGCUGCAGUGGGGAAUAUUGCACAAUGGGCGCAAGCCUGAUGCAACCAUGCCGCGUGUGUGAAGAAGGCCUUCGGGUUGUAAAGCACUUUCAGCGGGGAGGAAGGCGGUGAGGUUAAUAACCUCAUCGAUUGACGUUACCCGCAGAAGAAGCACCGGCUAACUCCGUGCCAGCAGCCGCGGUAAUACGGAGGGUGCAAGCGUUAAUCGGAAUUACUGGGCGUAAAGCGCACGCAGGCGGUCUGUCAAGUCGGAUGUGAAAUCCCCGGGCUCAACCUGGGAACUGCAUUCGAAACUGGCAGGCUAGAGUCUUGUAGAGGGGGGUAGAAUUCCAGGUGUAGCGGUGAAAUGCGUAGAGAUCUGGAGGAAUACCGGUGGCGAAGGCGGCCCCCUGGACAAAGACUGACGCUCAGGUGCGAAAGCGUGGGGAGCAAACAGGAUUAGAUACCCUAGUAGUC